Molecule: ribosomal RNA, 253 nt
Filed under: uncultured bacterium
Lineage: Bacteria
Description: partial 16S ribosomal RNA
Rfam family: Bacterial small subunit ribosomal RNA
Source: RNAcentral
UACGUAGGGGGCUAGCGUUGUCCGGAAUCAUUGGGCGUAAAGCGCGUGUAGGCGGUUCGGUAAGUCCGCUGUGAAAGUCGGGGGCUCAACCCUCGGAUGCCGGUGGAUACUGUCGGGCUUGAGUACGGAAGAGGCGAGUGGAAUUCCUGGUGUAGCGGUGAAAUGCGCAGAUAUCAGGAGGAACACCAAUUGCGAAGGCAGCUCGCUGGGACGUUACUGACGCUGAGGAGCGAAAGCGUGGGGAGCGAACAGG